ACAAUCCGGUUUACGCGUUCAGCGACAAUACUCUGGGGUGAAUAUACAGGAGUACGCAUGUGGGUGAUCCCAAAUGCUUUGACCAUCGACUCAAACCAUUUGUAUAUAAAUUAUCGUUCGUUGUCGGAGUGUAACCCCUCAGGCACUCCGAAUUUAAAGAACACCUCGUGGACCAGGAAGUCGACGACGUCUGCGGCCGUUUCGUCCGUCUCUCAUCGCCUUCAAAAAUGUAAAUUUGGAAAAACUAUUACUAUGAAAUUCCAAGAGUGCCCACAUUUUGAUCGUGGAUAUUUCCCCAAGUCGACAUACAAUUUCUGUAAUUGGCGAUCGGUUGCACAUCCCCGUACGAUCCCAAGAAGGUCCUCCGACGUUGCACCCAACUCCUCUACGCUUUUUGAUAGUGUGUCCGCAACUACAUUCUCGGUCCCCUUUAUAAACGGCAUUAUGAACGGAAAAGCCUAGUAAAGUCUUUAAGACUCAUGAGCCAUAGGAUGCUUGCAGUGUCGGUGACCACUGUGAAUGGGACCUUCUUAACAUACGGCCUGAAUGACCAACUUCGCGGCCAAGCACUUUUUCGGUCCCUGUAUAGUUGAUUUGGUGCCGGUUCAGUAUGGUCGAAGAGAACUCGAUCGGCCACUUCUGCUGUUCAUCAUUCAGUUGAAACAAAACGGCUCACACUCCUAAAUUCGAUGCGUCACAUUGAAUGAAGAAAGGCUUUUUGAAAUCGGUGUGCACCAACACGGGUGCUAUGGACUGGAAGGAGCAGCAAGAGUGACCAUGGACGCGUAUGGCUGACAAGCUCUCGGCACCAUCGCCUCAGCAUAUUAUCCACCGAUGAUAAUAUCUUUCCUUGUUAACCUUCGCCGACGAAAACGACUUAAUUAUUAUGCCGGUUCACCACGGAGUGUCAGAAAUGCAUCGAGUACCAUUCUCUGGCUCUGCCCACCAACAAAAAUGGAAUCCGCGCAGCACUCCUCUUCAGGAAUAUUGACACUGUUUCUGCAAAAAUUCGAUGCGAAAGAACAAAUCCUCUACAGCAUGUGUGAAAUCGCUACAACUUCAGUAUCUAGAUGCAUAUGCAUGGGGAUUCCGCCAGAUCACUUCGUGCGCCAGUAGGCCAGGUUGUGACCAAACAAAAUUCUUUUGUGUACGCCCACGAGUAAAGCAGCUUUUGGAAUUCAAGGUUCAACCCUGUUAACCCCAAUCCAGUUAUUCGACCGUGUCAUCCUUUAAAGAUUUAGAUGUAGAUUUGCUGAACACUUUACUCAGGGUUUACAGACUUUAGCUAUUUAUUUUUGAUGACAUCUCAAUGGUCGAUGCCAUAAUGUUAUCUCACUUAGAUGCUCGUCUUAUGCAAAUUUUUCCUAACAGGGAAACCCUAUUUGGGGGCAUUUCAGUAAUUGUUUUUGGCGAUCUCAGGCAACUGCGUUACAUGCACCAUACAGUGCUAUAUUUGGGUCUGCUUUGUGGGAUAUUUUUUAAGUUUUUGAACUCACAGAGAUUAUGAGACAACGAGACUAUCAAGCAUGUAUGCCAGCGCUUAAAAACAUGGCGUCCGAUCAAAUGACAUAAACUUAAGUUAGCGGUAAGGUUUCGAUCUUAGACCAAUUUUCGAAUAAUGCAAUUCAUUUCCAUUAUUUGUUUUUGCACAA
Molecule: long non-coding RNA, 1652 nt
Organism: Drosophila sulfurigaster albostrigata
Lineage: Eukaryota; Metazoa; Arthropoda; Insecta; Diptera; Drosophilidae
Exons: 4
Source: RefSeq, a predicted model, not a curated record